This 301-nucleotide ribosomal RNA is filed under the name uncultured bacterium. Its description in RNAcentral is "partial 16S ribosomal RNA". It matches the Rfam family "Bacterial small subunit ribosomal RNA", at positions 509 to 807 of the family's 1533-position model. The record is from RNAcentral.
CAGUAGCCGCGGGAAUACGAAGGGUGCAAGCGUUAAUCGGAAUUACUGGGCGUAAAGCGUGCGUAGGCGGUGAGUUAAGUCUGUUGUGAAAUCCCCGGGCUCAACCUUGGAAUGGCAAUGGAUACUGGCAAGCUAGAGUGUGUCAGAGGAUGGUGGAAUUCCCGGUGUAGCGGUGAAAUGCGUAGAGAUCGGGAGGAACAUCAGUGGCGAAGGCGGCCAUCUGGGACAACACUGACGCUGAGGCACGAAAGCGUGGGGAGCAAACAGGAUUAGAUACCCCCGUAGUCCCUGUCUCUUAUAC